RNAcentral lists this ribosomal RNA (484 nucleotides) under uncultured bacterium. RNAcentral describes it as "partial 16S ribosomal RNA". It matches the Rfam family "Bacterial small subunit ribosomal RNA", at positions 30 to 507 of the family's 1533-position model. The record is from RNAcentral.
AUUGAACGCUGGCGGAAUGCUUUACACAUGCAAGUCGAGCGGCAGCACGGGGGCAACCCUGGUUGCGAGCGGCGAACGGGUGAGUAAUACAUCGGAACAUGCCCAUUCGUGGGUGAUAACACUUCGAAAGAAGUGCUAAUACCGCAUACGUCCUGAGGGAGAAAGCGGGGGAUCGCAAGACCUCGCGCGAUUGGGGUGGCCGAUGUCAGAUUAGCUAGUUGGUGGGGUAAAGGCCUACCAAGGCAACGAUCUGUAGCUGGUCUGAGAGGAUGAUCAGCCACACUGGGACUGAGACACGGCCCAGACUCCUACGGGAGGCAGCAGUGGGGAAUUUUGGACAAUGGGGGCAAGCCUGAUCCAGCCAUUCCGCGUGAGUGAAGAAGGCCUUCGGGUUGUAAAGCUCUUUCGGCAGGAACGAAACGGCGAGCUCUAACAUAGCUUGCUAAUGACGGUACCUGAAGAAGAAGCACCGGCUAACUACGUG